This 86-nucleotide transfer RNA is filed under the name Phycisphaerales bacterium. Its description in RNAcentral is "tRNA-Leu". It matches the Rfam family "tRNA". From Rfam's summary of the family: Transfer RNA (tRNA) molecules are approximately 80 nucleotides in length. The record is from RNAcentral. Lineage: Bacteria; Pseudomonadati; Planctomycetota; Phycisphaerae; Phycisphaerales. RNAcentral also lists the same sequence under 1 other name.
GCCGGAGUGGCGGAACUGGCAGACGCGCAGGAUUCAAAAUCCUGAGGGGUUCACACCCCGUGUGGGUUCAAGUCCCACCUCCGGCA